Platichthys flesus (European flounder) is the source of this 266-nucleotide long non-coding RNA. RefSeq lists it as uncharacterized. NCBI's taxonomy places the organism in Eukaryota, Metazoa, Chordata, Actinopteri, Pleuronectiformes, Pleuronectidae. The transcript is spliced from 3 exons. The record is from RefSeq and is a predicted model, not a curated record.
UUGAGAAAUGCCCAAUGCAGCUCAGGGGUCAAAGGUCGCUGUUUGGAGGGACACAGACAUGUAACUGUGGCUUCCAUAUAAAGAAGCCAUCAGUCUCUGUGUCCUCUUCGGUGACACCACAACCAGGACCCUCGUCUGGAUCCCCCUCCAUCACACCUGGGCAACCACCACGCAAGCCCACUUUGACUUUGGCCUCAUUCACAAAACCACGGUUCGGUGGAUCGCAUGGUGCCCAUGCAAAGCCAAACUUGGCUUCAGCUGGGCAG